GAGAACACUAGAACCCUGACGGUGAU
This 26-nucleotide non-coding RNA is filed under the name Rattus norvegicus (Norway rat). Lineage: Eukaryota; Metazoa; Chordata; Mammalia; Rodentia; Muridae. The record is from RNAcentral.